AAGUGCAAAAUGGACGAUCGGUUGCCAAGCCCGCGAUAGGUAGCUGGCUUGGCAAUUUUGUCCUCAAGACACGCCGGAUUCUGCUGACACACCUAAUUUCUGCAUUCCACGAAGCGCUCCUUCGGAGUCUGGAGGGGAUUCCCCGACAGAUUUUCAGAAUCAAUCGACCACAUAGAUGUUGUUUCCCAUACUGCAACUUGCCCCGUUCAGAAUUCCGAUCCUCUCCGCUGCCCGAUUUUUUAUUUUUUUAUUUUUUUUGUUUCGCUUGGCUUCAAUAUCUUUUUGUUUUUUUUUUUACUUAACGAUAUUAAGGGGGUUCUUUUGGGCGUUAGAGGAGUGAAACGUUAAACAAACUCCAAAAACGCUAUUUUUGGUGGGGCAGCGGCGGAUGUAGGUGGUAGUCCCUCCUUAUGGGAAACAGGGGCAGCAGUCUUUCGAUUGUUCCCCCUGAUCCCUUUUCUUCGAAAUUCCUCCCGUGAGAUGAAACGCUUCGCGCUUCGUGGCAGCCAGUACGGUGUAGCCUAGACGUCGGUUUGGUGGUCUCCUUCCUCCAUUCCGGACGAUCUCCAACGUCGACGAUCCAUGAAAAGUGUAAAACUCGGUGCCCAGGAUUCGAACCCGGGUCCUAGACGUUAGCAGCCAACUACACUAAGCACGUCGCUACCGUCGUCCUUAAUAAUACAAGCUCGUAUAAACAUAUUUAAUUCCUUGACUGUUACGACACACGAAUUCUGGUGUCAACAAAGUUUCGGGCCGCGUAAACCAUUUAUACGGGUGUCGCUUAUUUCACUACUUGCAGCGUCCAAACGAUUCAACGCGAGGGCUUUUGUUGCGAUGAAUUCAGUGGAAGACAUGAGCUAAUUCUGGAACUGGCGUUCAUUUUUUCAUCUGGCAAACUAUACGGCCACGCGAAAAUUACUUGCAAGAACGAGCAGAUAUUUUAGAAAAAUAUACGCGAUAAUUUUAACAAAUUUAGUGACAGCAAUUAUUAUCUUUAAUCAUUGUAUCGAUAUUUAGUAGUAGUGAAUAAUAAAAUACCAUUUGUUAUAUCUCGUAUCAUACUUGGUAGUUUUAGAAUUAUAAAACACCUUACAUUUUAAUUAAACCUUGAUGAUUAAAAUACAAUUGAUUUGUUUCGGGAAAGUUAUAAAUUGUUGGAAUUCUUAUCGCAAAGUUUUUAAAUAGUACGAGAGUGUCCUUACAAUUAAAGAAAUAUAAGAAGUUGUACUUGUUGUAGGAAUAACUUCAUUUUAAUGAGUAUGGAAAUGAGAGUAUUUAACAUUGCAAAAAGCACAAAUAUCCAAAAAACAACAUUUCCGCGUUAUGGAAAGAAAAGCCAUCUAUUGUAAGACACGUUUCACAGAUAGACGGUGUAUAUAAAGGAUUCUGAAAUUCUGGACGCGACAUUUAACGACGAAAAGCACAGAGGAUUAACCGUACAAGAGUAAUUUUGCAUUUCUUCCAGAGCAACGUAUCACCGUCACAAACUACUGUGCAACACGCUUUAUUUAAACGCGACAGAACCGGUCGAAAGUGAAUCAAACAAUUUCCGCGUCGCACCUUGAAACUUCGUAAAUCACUGAGCGCGUAAUACGUCUCAACUUCGGAUUACAAACUAACGAUCUCUUAUAUAGAACAGUAAGCCAUUUAUUUCGUUCUAUGGAAAGACACAAGACAUUAGGUUCAAUCAGACAACGUUGACGAAGUUUCAUUUAGGCAUUUAUCUUUCACACUCUGUAUCGCGUAUUGUUUUGUAGAAAGAUCAAUUAUAGAAUAGUGAAUUAAAUAUAAAGGAGUUCAUCAAAAUUAUAUUUAUAGAAAUUAUCAAUUUUUUGUACUCCUGUGUACGUGUACGGUGGCGAACAAACAGAAGUUUACAGAGUAAAACGAGAGAAACGCUAUAAUUUUAUAAAUCUGAAUUAUGAUUAACAAGAAGCGACAAAAAAUGGAAAAGGGAAAUGAUUGUUAUAUAUAAAUAAAAAUCCAUAAAUAUUAUGGAUUUCGAAACAUGGCUUUUCAGAAAGUUUUAAAACAUAAGUAUGGUAAAAUUACCAAUCGUUUGGUUAAACGUAUCGAAAAAUUACUGCAGUAUGAAGCAUUACAAAUUUUUCAUUGUUCAGAAAUAUUCCUAUUUGAGCUUCGACUUUAAGAAUGUUUAUUGGAUAUUAUUCAAUUUUUAUUAUUCGUUCAAGUGCCUGAUUUGUCCUGCUUCUGACUCAAGUAAUUAAUAUUUUACUAUAUUCAUUUGCAAAUGAACAAUAAUAACACUGGAAAAGUUAACAGUAAGAAAAUUCCAUGGAGGAUAAAUCAAACAACGUGAACGAACGAGGUGAACGCAAUUGAAACUGCAAAACCACGUCCAUCAAGAUCCACCGCAGGUGUAGUUGAUGGGACGUUGAAAUCUAUAUAAAGAAAGAAGAAAAUGAUCGACGACAGAAAACACAGUUCUACAAAACAUGGGUGAAAAAACGUUUUCUCGCUCGACGUGUCUAUCAAAUUUUAAUUAAGUCUGACGCGUAACAAACGGUUGCACGAGUACACCCUCGAAUUGCUUUUACGCCGAUGGAAACGGGGCACGCUGCCAAUUCUCAACCCUUGUGAACGAUAAGCCAAAAUUAAUCAUUUUUAGGCAAGUUAGAUGCAUUCGCGGGUUAACAGCGUGCAAGCGAUACAAAUGAUAAAUAUCAAAAUAAAAAAUGAGGGAAAAGAAAGAGAAACGGAAGAGUAUGUUCCUUAUGCAGAGAUUUAAGAGUUAUCAGUUUGUAACGUUACAAUAUUAGGAUAUUCCUUAAGUAAUAUCGUAUUUACGUAAUAUGUAUAUUUAAAAGAUUAAAACGUUGAGUUUAUUAUAUUUAUUAGCGAAUGAUUCUUAUCCGUUGUCUACUAGAAACGUGUUUAUUUCCUCGCAAUUUUUAAAUUCCUCUGAAAAAUUAUGAUUAUUUUGAUAACUAAUCUAUUGUAUAAAUCAUAUAAAAUAUUUUGAAAUUGUCACUAGUCCUGUCAAAAGACAAGACUGUCAUUAUUAUAUUGGUAAAAUUUGAAACUCGUCUGAAAAUAUACAGAAAAAUUACAAAAUAUUUACUACAAACGUGUGAAAUAAUAAUAUACAACAUAUCUAUAAACUAUAACAACCUGAUUCCAGAGAACAACAUUAUUUCGCACCAAUCAAAGUUUCACGAUACUUAAUACAGAAAAAUGCUCUUAACGAGGAAGACAAUUAAAAAGUGUACUGAGAAAGUUACCCAAGUGUGAGCAAAGUUGUGAAGCAUCAUCGAACAGUGUGGCUAGUCGUUGAACGAUCCUCGACUUGCCCAAUCAUGUUCGACUAUCAGCUUCAACGUGCAAAGAGAAAAUUGGAUCUAUAGGGCGCAACAAGCGUCGUAUCGCUCUAUAAAAGCUAAUGAUUUUAGUCUGCUGGCAUGGUCGAGACCUAUUCGCACAAGGCUUCUCGCAGACUACCGAACGAUCAGCCAUAACAGGAACAGAAGGGUGGACACACAGACAGAAGGAAAGAAGAAACUUUCCAAGUUAUUGUCGUGUGCGUUUGAGAGGAUCAGAUAGGUCUGAUGAAGAUAUAAGCAGCUGUAAACUGUUGCUUCAACCAUGUCAGAAAAUCGUCCAAAAAAGUCCAAAAAAGACGGUCUAUUUAAAAUAACCGAUAAGAUGAAGUCUAUUGGAUUCUAGGAAUUUUUAUUUUCAGUCAUUUGAAAAGUGCUAAGGCGAAGGAAAUCCAUCAGAGUCUAUUUUUGUAACAAUUUGAAAAAUACGCAUUUUGAUACAUUGUACGUACCGUCUACUGCAAAAUGAUCGUCACACGAACUACAAACUGGUUUAUCGUUUGACACAUAUUUUUUUCUUGUAAAUAACUAUUAUAUUGAUCCCGAACGAAAGGAAAUUCUUACGUUAUUGGGAUAAUUUUGCAUAAUAAAUAAAUUGGAGAUAUUGAUGCAUUCGUUGGAAAUUAAAGAAUGCACAGAAUGUAGAUAUUACACAAAACGAUAUAAAAUAUUCAAGAAUGACAAUCGAAAGAGGAGGAUCAUCGCGAAAGAAUUCUUCAUCGAAAAAGGAUUUUCAUAAAUAUGGUAUAUUAACGGAGAAAAUUCGAUGGACAAGCAGAAAAUGAAAUUCAUUCACGCUCCAACAUUUUAAGCUUCGCGUUGAAUGUUUAAUCGUAUUCGGCAUUUAUAAAAUAUCGUUUGCUUGAGAUUUAGUUAUGCUGGAAGGCAUAUUUCGAUAAUAUGACGAUCAAGAGAAAAAUAGCAUGAAAGAAAAAUGUCACAAUAAUAAAACAAUAAUAAAGAAUAUUUAAUGAUGUUAUCCAUCUAUAGAUCCAUCAAAUAGAUAAAUCUAAAUUAUUUAACUAGGAAUCUAAAUUACUUGCCUCGGAAGGUGGAUAAAAUUUUAGCCAAAAUUAAAAAAUUCGAUAUGUGAACAAUUAAAAAAAGUUGCGAAAUAACAUAGAAUUAUUUUAAUAGAAUUUAUAUAGUUUAGAAUAGAUUUAUAUAGUUUAGAAAUAAUCUGUAAACGUGAUCUACACGUGAGUAGAUGCUAGAAUAAAUGUAGCUAACAUUUCCGCGUCAUUCCACAUCUAUUUUCGCACUGAACAUAGUCAUUAUAUUAUUUUAGACAAAACCAGCCUUGUACCAGUAUUUCAAUUGUUAUCAACACUUAUAUAACUUAAUAACGUUCACAAGCGAAACUGUACUACGGAAACUUGUGUUCUUAUUAAGUCUCAAUACUAAUUGUAAGUACAGAUAGGAAACGAAAGUUCGUUAGGCAAAUAGAACAGAGAGGAAGCACUCCCAUACGAGCACCAUCUUUUAGCGAUAGUUUAGUUUAUAAACAUUGUAAAGCUGUACUAAAGAUCUCUGAAGGAGAAAUAAAUAAAUACAUACUAA
This is a long non-coding RNA of Bombus terrestris (buff-tailed bumblebee), 4898 nucleotides long. RefSeq lists it as uncharacterized. NCBI's taxonomy places the organism in Eukaryota, Metazoa, Arthropoda, Insecta, Hymenoptera, Apidae. The transcript has 5 exons. The record is from RefSeq and is a predicted model, not a curated record.